GAUGAACGCUGGCGGCGUGCCUAAUACAUGCAAGUCGAGCGAACGGACGAGAAGCUUGCUUCUCUGAUGUUAGCGGCGGACGGGUGAGUAACACGUGGAUAACCUACCUAUAAGACUGGGGUAACUUCGGGAAACCGGAGCUAAUACCGGAUAAUAUUUUGAACCGCAUGGUUCAAAAGUGAAAGACGGUCUUGCUGUCACUUAUAGAUGGAUCCGCGCUGCAUUAGCUAGUUGGUAAGGUAACGGCUUACCAAGGCAACGAUGCAUAGCCGACCUGAGAGGGUGAUCGGCCACACUGGAACUGAGACACGGUCCAGACUCCUACGGGAGGCAGCAGUAGGGAAUCUUCCGCAAUGGGCGAAAGCCUGACGGAGCAAAGCCGCGUGAGUGAUGAAGGUCUUCGGAUCGUAAAACUCUGUUAUUAGGGAAGAACAUAUGUGUAAGUAACUGUGCACAUCUUGACGGUACCUAAUCAGAAAGCCACGGCUAACUACGUG
RNAcentral lists this ribosomal RNA (497 nucleotides) under uncultured bacterium. RNAcentral describes it as "partial 16S ribosomal RNA". It matches the Rfam family "Bacterial small subunit ribosomal RNA", at positions 28 to 507 of the family's 1533-position model. The record is from RNAcentral.